GGCCUGAUAGCAUAAUGGUUAGUGCUUCUGGAAUUCGUAUAGACUCUAGGAACUUAUUAUGCAGAAAAUCCCUGUUCGAUUCGGGGUCAGGCCA
Non-coding RNA from Mycena rosella, 94 nucleotides. Lineage: Eukaryota; Fungi; Basidiomycota; Agaricomycetes; Agaricales; Mycenaceae. The record is from the annotation of a GenBank genome assembly.